This is a long non-coding RNA of Nomia melanderi (Alkali bee), 427 nucleotides long. RefSeq lists it as uncharacterized. Lineage: Eukaryota; Metazoa; Arthropoda; Insecta; Hymenoptera; Halictidae. The record is from RefSeq and is a predicted model, not a curated record.
GUCUUCCGCGGAACGUGGCCGCAGUUUUUGGAACGUUCUCAUCGGGACGUGGUUGGUCGGGCCUGCCAGCUGAUACCGUGGAUCCUUUGCGGUAGAUAAAUUCUGCCGGUAAUGGAAUUUCGUUCGACGAAGAGCCAUCGAGAAAUUAUGGAUCGUCGCUCAAGGAGCAGAGCGAGCCAGAAAAAUCCUUGUUACGAGGAUUUUAUUCGUCUCGAGAAUUACGUCUUUGCGAAGUGGCCCGGUGAACGAUAGGCGAACUUUCAUCGAGGAACGCCAGCUGGUCAAGCCCGCAGAUUUUCCAAAAUGGCGGCGGAGAGCUCGAGCGGAUUUUCUCCCGCGGACACGCGGAAACGAGCAGCGAGAUCCGGAUCGCGAGAAAAAAAAAUAUUCGAGCGCGUUACGAGCGACCAAUAAAUAUUUCAACGGG